UUGGACAUUGGUACGAGUCUAACAUGUUAAACACACCAUCAUUAUUAGUCCGCUGUGUGAAUCUUUGGUGUUGUAUUUAAGUCGUGGCUAAAUACAUUACUAACCAUUUUUUUUAAAUAAUGAUGUGAAAGAAACCUAAUUCUUCAAAUUUUGUUUUAUUAGCGAGACUGUGAAAUAUAGAAAAAUUACCAAACUUCGAAAGAGAAUAUGGGGUGUUAGGUGGUGUUUUUUUUUUUUUUUUUUUUAGAAAUCUUUUUUUAAAAAUAUAUGUCAGCGAGAGAUAAUACAUUUAUGUCUGCACCUUCUCGUAGACAAUUUGCUUUUUAAAAGACCGCAUACGUCAAAACAAUUGUACAUCCUCUUCCUCAAAACGAAAUAUACUUAAGUCUGCGGAUGGAAAUAUGUUUCUCGCAUAUUCUUUUAGACUAAAAAAAGACACACACACAAAUAUAUAUAUAUAUAUAUAUAUAUAUAUAUAUAUAUAUAUAUAUAUAUAUAUAUAUAUAUAUAUAUAUAUAUAUAUAUAUAUAGACACACACAAUGUUCAUAUCAAAUUUUCUGACACCCCAACCCUAAGAACUAUCGCACACAACCUCUCUUCUCUUCCAUCGUAGCUUCCACCCUCUUCAUCACUGAUCGUCGAUGCUGCCUCCCAUGUCGUGAGCCACCGACACUAUUGCUUUCUUUCCGACGUUGCUUCCUUUUGCCUUUGUCGAAGCUUUGUUUUACCUCCACCGCAGAUUCUUUCAGCCUCCAUUGCGGCCUCCUUUCAUCUUCUCCAUCAUUGGUCGUCGUGGCCUGCAGUUGUUUCCUUCCCUACGUUCAUUCUUUUACAUCGCUAUAGCUUCUUUCUCCAUCACCAGGGAUGUGUAGGGUAAAAGACAUGUCACAAAGAAGAAUGUGGAUUGUUGUUAUGUGGUGAUAUGAUGAGAUGCAUUGUGAUCCGGUUGAAUUCAUAUAGUGUUGCAGAACUUGUUUGAAUAUGGAGCAUUCAAACUAUUCAAACUCAAGAAUAGGGGAGUAAUCAAUAAUAUGAAUAAAAGUAGGGGUUUUUUAGUUUUGAAAUCUAUGUAUUUGUUUAUGAAGAUAAAAGAAGAUAGGUUAAUAUAUUGGGAAAUUAAGUAAUCUAGCCCAUAUAAAUGAAAUUUUUGAAAAAACAACCAAUAUUUUUUAAUUUUUGUAAAAUGACAAGUAUGAUUGGAACAGGGCAUUCUAUGUUGGUGAUUUGUUAUCAUCAUUGUUAUUUAAGUGUAAUGGGAUUACUUUGUUGACCAAAAGUGAUCUUGAUAAAUAUUAAACAAGUAAGGAAGGUGUAGAGUACACACUUGUUUAAGUUCGAUCAAGUAUCAAAGUACAUUGUCAUUUAGGGGGAAGCCCCUGAACGAACGGGGGUUCGGGGGCAGUGCCCCUGGGAGCGGGGUCCAAGGGGCAGAGCCCCUAGCUGGUGGUUUUGGUGGUUUUUAGAAAUCCGGUUUUUUAAAUAAUUGACCCAUUUUUUACUUUUAUUCAGUUGACCCAUUUUAUGACCGUUUUGGUGGUUUUGUGACAGUUUUAAACUGUCAUGUGAUAGUUUUCAGACAAAGAUCUAAAUUCAGUUUUUUGGUCUCUUUUCUGGUACUCACGAAAUCAUAUCCUCUCAUUCUCUUUCUUUUUAUCUGAUUUAAUCCGAGUCUUAUCCAAUUGAGGAUUUGGGAGUACCACCCAAAUACUUCGAUUAGAAAGUGAUUAUCACGAUUCUCAAAUUUCCAAGUGCCACUACACCAUAUUUCUAACAUUCUAGAGUGAACUACGGAUACCAAAGUAGGAUUUCGGAGACAGUUUUCCAAUUUUUUUUUUGAGAUUAUGUUUGUUAGAACAUGAAAAGUAAUCCUUAAGCAAUCCGAGAUGAAGCAUGUCCGAGGUGAAAGCAUUCUGAAGUGAAGUCCAUUCCGAAGUCAAGAUCAGUCUGAGAUGCAUCUUUGUGUUGAAGUAUUUUGUGUCUGUAAUGUGCAUUUAUUAUUGCAAGUACUACUUUGUAUUGUACUUAUUGUCUCAUAGUAUAGUAUAAGCAACAAGAUUAACAACAAUGAAUGUGACAGCCUGCUCAUAUUCAUAAGUCUCAUAGUCCAUGCACACUUUAUCAGAUUUGUCUUUUAGUUACUCCUUAACUAUUUAAGAAGUAGUCAUCUUUGUAUCAAAGUGUGGAAUAUGCACAUUUUUCACUUAUAUCAAGAGUCAUUCAGUCAAUGAUUCUAUCUUACAUUCUUCUUGUUCUUGAAUCACUUUACAUUGUUCAUACUUAUUAAUUAUUUA
Molecule: long non-coding RNA, 2292 nt
Organism: Lactuca sativa (garden lettuce)
Lineage: Eukaryota; Viridiplantae; Streptophyta; Magnoliopsida; Asterales; Asteraceae
Source: RefSeq, a predicted model, not a curated record